RNAcentral lists this microRNA precursor (70 nucleotides) under Marek's disease virus serotype 2 MDV2. Its description in RNAcentral is "microRNA mdv2-mir-M30 precursor". Its record names the gene mdv2-mir-M30. Lineage: Duplodnaviria; Heunggongvirae; Peploviricota; Herviviricetes; Herpesvirales; Orthoherpesviridae. The record is from miRBase by way of RNAcentral.
CACAACACUCCCUCGGACGCAGCAGUGUCUGGGCUUCUGCUGACGUGCGAGGGAGUGCUCGCCACGCGAG